RNAcentral lists this ribosomal RNA (506 nucleotides) under uncultured bacterium. Its description in RNAcentral is "partial 16S ribosomal RNA". It matches the Rfam family "Bacterial small subunit ribosomal RNA", at positions 28 to 523 of the family's 1533-position model. The record is from RNAcentral.
GAUGAACGCUAGCCACAGGCUUAACACAUGCAAGUCGAGGGGUAACGAGAGGGAAGCUUGCUUUCCUUGUCGACGACCGGCGCACGGGUGAGUAACGCGUACCCAACCUGCCCCCAACUAGGGAAUAACCUUGCGAAAGUAAGACUAAUACCCUAUAAUUUCCUCAGAUGUCAUCUGACGAGGAAUAAAGAUUUAUCGGUUGUGGAUGGGGAUGCGUCUGAUUAGCUUGUUGGCGGGGUAACGGCCCACCAAGGCAACGAUCAGUAGGGGUUCUGAGAGGAAGGUCCCCCACAUUGGAACUGAGACACGGUCCAAACUCCUACGGGAGGCAGCAGUGAGGAAUAUUGGUCAAUGGGCGGAAGCCUGAACCAGCCAAGUAGCGUGCAGGAUGACGGCCCUAUGGGUUGUAAACUGCUUUUAUACAGGAAUAAAGUUAGCCACGUGUGGUUAUUUGUAGGUACUGUAUGAAUAAGGACCGGCUAAUUCCGUGCCAGCAGCCGCGGUAA